This 481-nucleotide ribosomal RNA is filed under the name Linepithema humile (Argentine ant). RNAcentral describes it as "eukaryotic LSU rRNA". Lineage: Eukaryota; Metazoa; Arthropoda; Insecta; Hymenoptera; Formicidae. The record is from RNAcentral.
AAACCGUUCAGGGGUAAACCUAAGAAACCCAAAAGAUCGAACGGGGAGAUUCAUCGUCAGCGGCGCUGGCUUCGCGUCGGUGGGCGAUGCUCCGCGGAGCCCUUGCGGAUCCUACCGCGGACACGCUACCGUGCGUCGAUGUCCGGCGCUCGUCGUCGUGCACUUCUCCCCUAGUAGGACGUCGCGACCCGCUGGGUGUCGGUCUACGGCCCGAGUGCGGUGACUGUCGCGUCGCCGGUAAAACGGCACGCGGCAAACCCUCGGUCGCCCGGCCGGCUGCCCGGCGGUACACGCAUGGUAUCAGGCCGCACUCUUCUCACGUGUGCGUCGGGACCGUCGCAAGCGCGCGCCACGGUACUCGGAGGUUACGGACCUAGCGCCGUCCCCGGUCCUGGCCCGCUGUUGGUCGUACGGAACUCCUUCGACAGGCCUGCAAACGAUAUACCGGUCGGCGACGCUACUGCUUUGGGUACUCUUAGGA